RNAcentral lists this ribosomal RNA (1445 nucleotides) under uncultured prokaryote. RNAcentral describes it as "partial 16S ribosomal RNA". It matches the Rfam family "Bacterial small subunit ribosomal RNA". The record is from RNAcentral.
AACGAACGCUGGCGGCGUGCCUAACACAUGCAAGUCGAACGAGAAAGUUUCCUUCGGGGAAUGAGUAAAGUGGCGCAAGGGUGAGUAACACGUGAAUAAUCUGCCUUCGAGACUGGGAUAACUUGAUGAAAGUUAAGCUAAUACCGGAUAAGACCACGCUUCACAAGGAGUGCGGCAAAAGGGGUCUCAAACCCUGCUUGAAGAUGAGUUCGCGUACCAUUAGCUUGUUGGUGAGAUAACAGCUCACCAAGGCGACGAUGGUUAGCCGGCCUGAGAGGGUGAUCGGCCACACUGGAACUGAGACACGGUCCAGACUCCUACGGGAGGCAGCAGUGGGGAAUCUUGCGCAAUGGGCGAAAGCCUGACGCAGCAACGCCGCGUGAGCGAUGAAGGCCUUCGGGUCGUAAAGCUCUGUCAAGUGGGAAGAACACAAUGACGGUACCACUAGAGGAAGCCCCGGCUAACUUCGUGCCAGCAGCCGCGGUAAUACGAAGGGGGCAAGCGUUGUUCGGAAUUAUUGGGCGUAAAGCGUAUGUAGGUGGUCUUUCAAGUCAGACGUGUAAGCCCUCGGCUCAACCGAGGAAUUGCGUUUGAAACUGAUUGACUUGAGUGUAGGAGAGGAAAGCGGAAUUCCCAGUGUAGCGGUGAAAUGCGUUGAUAUUGGGAAGAACACCGGUGGCGAAGGCGGCUUUCUGGCCUAUUACUGACACUGAGAUACGAAAGCGUGGGGAGCAAACAGGAUUAGAUACCCUGGUAGUCCACGCCGUAAACGAUGUCAACUAGCCGUUGGGGAGCUUGCCUCCUUUAGUGGCGCAGCUAACGCAAUAAGUAGACCGCCUGGGGAGUACGGUCGCAAGAUUAAAACUCAAAUGAAUUGACGGGGGCCCGCACAAGCGGUGGAGCAUGUGGUUUAAUUCGAUGCAACGCGAAGAACCUUACCAGGUCUUGACAUCCUGCGAACUUACUAGAGAUAGUUUGGUGCCUUCGGGAGCGCAGUGACAGGUGCUGCAUGGCUGUCGUCAGCUCGUGUUGUGAAAUGUUGGGUUAAGUCCCGUAACGAGCGCAACCCUUGUCCUUAUUUGCCAGCUUAAUGGUGGGAACUUUAAGGAGACUGCCGGUGACAAACCGGAGGAAGGUGGGGACGACGUCAAGUCAUCAUGGCCCUUACGACCUGGGCUACACACGUGCUACAAUGGCCGGUACAGAGGGUUGCUAAGCCGCGAGGUGGAGCCAAUCCCAGAAAGCCGGUCGUAGUUCGGAUUGGAGUCUGCAACUCGACUCCAUGAAGCCGGAAUCGCUAGUAAUCGCGAAUCAGAAUGUCGCGGUGAAUACGUUCCCGGGCCUUGUACACACCGCCCGUCACACCAUGGGAGUGGGUUGCAAAAGAAGUGGGUAGACUAACCUUCGGGGGGUCGCUCACCACUUUGUGAUUCAUGACUGGGGUG